RNAcentral lists this ribosomal RNA (432 nucleotides) under uncultured bacterium. RNAcentral describes it as "partial 16S ribosomal RNA". It matches the Rfam family "Bacterial small subunit ribosomal RNA", at positions 28 to 507 of the family's 1533-position model. The record is from RNAcentral.
GAUGAACGCUGGCGGUAUGCUUAACACAUGCAAGUCGAACGGUCACUUCGGUGAUAGUGGCGGACGGGUGCGUAACGCGUGAGAAUCUGUCUUCAGGUCGGGGACAACAGUUAGAAAUGACUGCUAAUACCGGAUGUGCCUUUGGGUGAAAGAUUUAUUGCCUGAAAAAGAGCUCGCGUCAGAUUAGCUAGUAGGUGGUGUAAGAGACUACCUAGGCUCCGAUCUGUAGCUGGUCUGAGAGGACGAUCAGCCACACUGGAACUGAGACACGGUCCAGACUCCUACGGGAGGCAGCAGUGGGGAAUUUUCCGCAAUGGGCGAAAGCCUGACGGAGCAAUGCCGCGUGAGGGACGAAGACUUUUGGGUCGUAAACCUCUUUUCUCAAGGAAGAUGAUGACGGUACUUGAGGAAUAAGCACCGGCUAACUCUGUG